Long non-coding RNA from Homo sapiens (human), 2103 nucleotides. RefSeq lists it as uncharacterized. NCBI's taxonomy places the organism in Eukaryota, Metazoa, Chordata, Mammalia, Primates, Hominidae. The record is from RefSeq and is a predicted model, not a curated record. The transcript has 7 exons.
UGUAAUUUGUUCUUCACUGAUCCCUUCCAAUGCUUGUGAUGCUUCUGUAGCACUUAAGAGAAUUCAUACCAUAAUAUGAUUUAUAUAAGCCAAAUGCUAUGAUUCUUAUUACUUUUUUUCUCCUCAUCUAUGUGUACUAACUUCAUUUCUCAUGUGCAUGCUGGCUAAAUAGACUACCUGUUUUGCUUUCAGAUUUGUUCUCUACCAAUGCCCUACACUGCUAACAGGAAACUGCCUUCUGGAUUUGUGGGAAGUUCACCAGCAGGAAGCGCCAGUGGAAAUUGGGAGGGUGGCUAUAGCUGAUUUCCACUGUUCUUCAGUUAGUUUCCUGGCUGCUCACAAAGAUUUUCCUGCAUGCCACUGCUCUCCAGGAAUCUACCAACAUUCACGUAGACUUCUCAAUGAAUGGCACGGAAAGUUUCUUCUUAAGUUACUUCAGGCCAUCUGGAUGUAUACGUGCAAGUCACAGGGGAUGUGAUGGCUUGGCUUGGGAUCAGAGACCUGACAGUUAUCAUCCUUGUGGCAUCUUCAAAUUCAGAGAAUCCUUCUGGAUUUUUGGACUUUUUUCUCCCUCAACGUGGAUUAAAUGUUGGACUUUUCUCACUCAACUUGGAUUGAAUGUUGUCAUAGAGAUCUAACAGCAAGUGAACUAAUGCUGAUUCAAAGACACCAAGAGAGGGGGCGAAAUGGAAGGUGUGAAAUCACAGAAACCAAGGGAAUGAAAAACUGCAAAUAAAUAAGCCAUCACUUGAUAUCCUGCUACAUCUCCAGGAAUAAAAAGCUGGAAAUAAAUAAGCCAGCCAAGAAGAUUGAUACAUGACUGGAGCCUGAAUGGUAGAACUUUUUCAGAAGUGAGGAGUCUGUUGGCCCAGAAGAUCUGCGGUAAGAUCUGCCUCAACAUACCUUACUCAUUUUUUUCAAAGAGACUCUAGAGUCUAAAAUGAACAACCAAUCAAUUCUACAAACAUUGCAUCAUGAGGAGUUGCUGCACCUCUUCUCCAGGAUUUGCAAAACGUGUAGUCCAAAUCGAGUUCGGCUAGAACUGGUCUGUCAUCAAGAUAUGGCUCAUGAAAGAGAUUGGUGUUUAGGAGGCUGGGAAAAGGAAAUAUUUUGAGAGACUUCAUGUGCUCCGCACAUGGAGGUGGCUUCCUUUUGCCUCAGGUGAAGGGAGCUUCAACAAGAUCACUCAGAGUUUGAUCAAUGAUCUUAGAAUUUGCAGAACAUAGGGACUGCCAUUUGACUCACCCUUUAGAAGUCAGGAGGAAAGGUUACGUGGCUGGCACUUCUCAUGUCUGGGAAGGAACAACUGUGAAGUGCUGACCUAGACGAAUGUUGCACUUCCGCUGAUGAGUAGGCAAUGGCGAAUGUUUUCCAGGGUCCAAAUGUGGACCCGGCAACAGAGAGGCUGUCUGUAAUCACUUUAUAAGAGACACUAACAACAAUGACCACUGGGACUAAAGAGAGCACAACGGAAGUAGUUCUGCCAGAAGGGCUGAGGAGAGGGCUGAGCAACCACCCUCAGGGGAGGCAGACCCACAUCAAAGACAUCUCAGCAGUCCCUUUCCCAUGAAAGAAAGAGCUAGAAAUUGUCCAUUUGACACACACACAAACCAGAUCCCAGAUUGCAAUUGAUUCAGAUAAUGAAAAGCUUGUUCUUUUCACUUGCUGUUCUAGCCUAACCAUGUAGGUGUCAGAAGCAGUUGUAGGCUAGGAGAGAAGUCGGAGCAAUACAGAAGCCAGUUCUGCCUUUGCCUCAAGAUCCACUGUCCACUCAGAGGCAGGCUGGCACAUGGGGGAUGAGAACAUUCCAAGAAAGAUGUGAAUCUGGAAUUUUCAUUUAUGCAGUAGAUGGGGAUUUACUACUGAAAGGAACAUGUUUUGGCAACUAAUAGUGACCAAAAGAAUUUGUACUUACUAAAAAUUAUCUUAAAAGCAUGGGAUUACCCUAGCAUUUUGUUUCAGAAACUGAAAUUAACAGAAAACUAUAAAAUUACUUUCUGCCUGAAACCUAAGAAGGUGAACUCAUGCCAGAAACCAGUUACAUUCACAAUUACCUGGAUUUUGUUAUUUCCUACAAUGAAUAAAACUUAUUAUAAAGCAGAA